CAAGUCGAACGCGAAAGCUCCCUUCGGGGAGCAAGUAGAGUGGCGCACGGGUGAGUAACACGUAGGUAAUCUACCUUCGGAUGGGGAAUAACAACCGGAAACGGUUGCUAAUACCGCAUAAUGCAGCGGCACCUAAUGGUGACAGUUGUUAAAGCGGGGGAUCGUAAGACCUCGCGUCUGAAGAGGAGCCUGCGGCAGAUUAGCUAGUUGGUAAGGUAACGGCUUACCAAGGCGAUGAUCUGUAGCCGGCCUGAGAGGGCGGUCGGCCACACUGACACUGACAUACGGGUCAGACUCCUACGGGAGGCAGCAGUCGGGAAUUUUGGGCAAUGGGCGAAAGCCUGACCCAGCAACGCCGCGUGAAGGAUGAAAUCCCUCGGGAUGUAAACUUCGCAAGAACGGGAAGAAUAAGUGAGAGUUAAUAUCUCUCGCGAUGACGGUACCGUUUGUAAGCUCCGGCUAACUCCGUGCCAGCAGCCGCGGUAAUACGGGGGGAGCAAGCGUUGUUCGGAUUUACUGGGCGUAAAGGGCGCGUAGGCGGCCACCGCAAGUCGACUGUGAAAUCUCCGGGCUUAACCCGGAAAGGUCAGCCGAUACUGCGGGGCUAGAGUGCAGAAGGGGCAACUGGAAUUCUCGGUGUAGCGGUGAAAUGCGUAGAUAUCGAGAGGAACACCUGCGGCGAAGGCGGGUUGCUGGGCUGACACUGACGCUGAGGCGCGAAAGCUAGGGGAGCGAACGGGAUUAGAUACCCCGGUAGUCCUAGCCUUAAACGAUGAAUGCUUGGUGUCUGGGGUUUUAUAGUCCCCGGG
RNAcentral lists this ribosomal RNA (809 nucleotides) under uncultured Bacillota bacterium. RNAcentral describes it as "bacterial SSU rRNA". It matches the Rfam family "Bacterial small subunit ribosomal RNA", at positions 58 to 843 of the family's 1533-position model. The record is from RNAcentral. Lineage: Bacteria; Bacillati; Bacillota.